Molecule: ribosomal RNA, 429 nt
Filed under: uncultured bacterium
Lineage: Bacteria
Description: bacterial SSU rRNA
Rfam family: Bacterial small subunit ribosomal RNA
Source: RNAcentral
UGGGGAAUAUUGCACAAUGGGCGCAAGCCUGAUGCAGCCAUGCCGCGUGUGUGAAGAAGGCUCUAGGGUUGUAAAGCACUUUCAGUAGGGAGGAAAGGUUGUAACUUAAUACGUUGCAGCUGUGACGUUACCUACAGAAGAAGCACCGGCUAACUCCGUGCCAGCAGCCGCGGUAAUACGGAGGGUGCAAGCGUUAAUCGGAAUUACUGGGCGUAAAGCGCGCGUAGGCGGUUAGUUAAGCUAGAUGUGAAAGCCCCGGGCUCAACCUGGGAACUGCAUUUAGAACUGGCUGACUAGAGUACAGCAGAGGAUAGUGGAAUUUCUAGUGUAGCGGUGAAAUGCGUAGAUAUUAGAAGGAACACCAGUGGCGAAGGCGACUGUCUGGGCUGAUACUGACGCUGAGGUGCGAAAGCGUGGGGAGCAAACGGG